GACGAACGCUGGCGGCGUGCUUAACACAUGCAAGUCGAACGGUAAGGCCCUUCGGGGUACACGAGUGGCGAACGGGUGAGUAACACGUGGGUGAUCUGCCCUGCACUUUGGGAUAAGCCUGGGAAACUGGGUCUAAUACCGGAUAGGACCACGGCCUGCAUGGGUUGUGGUGGAAAGCUUUUGCGGUGUGGGAUGGGCCCGCGGCCUAUCAGCUUGUUGGUGGGGUGAUGGCCUACCAAGGCGACGACGGGUAGCCGGCCUGAGAGGGUGUCCGGCCACACUGGGACUGAAAUACUGCCCAGACUCCUACGGGAGGCAGCAGUGGGGAAUAUUGCACAGUGGGCGCAAGCCUGAUGCAGCGACGCCGCGUGGGGGAUGACGGCCUUCGGGUUGUAACCCUCUUUCACCAGGGACGAAGCGCAAGUGACGGUACCUGGAGAAGAAGCACCGGCCAACUACGUGCCAGCAGCCGCCGUAA
RNAcentral lists this ribosomal RNA (478 nucleotides) under uncultured bacterium. Its description in RNAcentral is "partial 16S ribosomal RNA". It matches the Rfam family "Bacterial small subunit ribosomal RNA", at positions 28 to 523 of the family's 1533-position model. The record is from RNAcentral.